Molecule: ribosomal RNA, 59 nt
Filed under: Fusarium sp.
Lineage: Eukaryota; Fungi; Ascomycota; Sordariomycetes; Hypocreales; Nectriaceae
Description: partial 28S ribosomal RNA
Source: RNAcentral
UGUUGACCUCGGAUCAGGUAGGAAUACCCGCUGAACUUAAGCAUAUCAAUAAGGCGGAG